AUUGAACGCUGGCGGCAGGCCUAACACAUGCAAGUCGAACGAGUGGCGGACGGGUGAGUAAUGCUUGGGAAUCUAGCUUAUGGAGGGGGAUAACUACGGGAAACUGUAGCAAAUACCGCGAACCAUAGGCUGAGCCCAAGUGGGUUUAGUUAGGUGGUGAGGUAAAGGCUCACCAAGCAGACGAACGCGAGCUGGUCUGAGAGGAUGACCAGCCACACUGGGCGUGAGACACGGCCCAGACUCCUACGGGAGGCAGCAGUGGGGAAUAUUGCGCAAUGGGGGCAACCUGACGCAGCCAUGCCGCGUGAAUGAAGAAGGCCUUCGGGUGGUAAAGUUCUUUCGGUAGCGAGGCGUUAACUACAGAAGAAGCACCGGCUAACUCCGUGCCAGCAGCCGCGGUAAUUC
RNAcentral lists this ribosomal RNA (405 nucleotides) under uncultured bacterium. RNAcentral's name for it is "partial 16S ribosomal RNA". It matches the Rfam family "Bacterial small subunit ribosomal RNA", at positions 30 to 526 of the family's 1533-position model. The record is from RNAcentral.